CUGUCACAUUCUUUUUAUGGUAUGUUGUUAAAGACUAAACACGGAUGACUUUGCUGUAAAAUGCACGACCUGUUCGGGAGGCUGUGGUUGGUUGAUACGCCGAGGACACGGAGCGAGGACGGGAGUAAAGGACAAAGACGGAGCUCUCGACCUGCUGAGGGAACUAAAGAACAUCAAGAUGUCUCUGGAGACCCUGCAGUUCUUCUGUUCACGGAAUCAUCCAACGUUCACUUGAUCAGUCAGAAAAGCAGUUAUUUCUACUUUCACUCGACGACAUGGCUGAAAAAACCUUCAAACGGGGGAGUUUUUCUACUUGGACCCUCCCCUUGACAACUUGUUGGAAGAACAUAUACCCAGAAGGUGCAUGUAACAGGUUCGAGUCUGGGGCAGGCACCAAAGAGGCAACACACACACAAUUGUGAGGGCAGUAACCGUUUUUAUUUAUUUGUCACGCUUCUGGUAGCGACCGAUCCGGGCCUCCG
Molecule: long non-coding RNA, 482 nt
Organism: Cyclopterus lumpus (lumpfish)
Lineage: Eukaryota; Metazoa; Chordata; Actinopteri; Perciformes; Cyclopteridae
Exons: 4
Source: RefSeq, a predicted model, not a curated record